UACGAAGGGGGCUAGCGUUGUUCGGAAUUACUGGGCGUAAAGCGCACGUAGGCGGAUCGGUCAGUUAGGGGUGAAAUCCCAGAGCUCAACUCUGGAACUGCCUUUAAUACUGCCGAUCUGGAGUCCGGAAGAGGUGAGUGGAAUUCCGAGUGUAGAGGUGAAAUUCGUAGAUAUCGGGAGGAACACCAGUGGCGAAGGCGGCUCUCUGGGCAGAUACUGACGCUGAGACGCGAAAGCAUGGGGAGCAAACAGG
RNAcentral lists this ribosomal RNA (253 nucleotides) under uncultured bacterium. RNAcentral's name for it is "partial 16S ribosomal RNA". It matches the Rfam family "Bacterial small subunit ribosomal RNA", at positions 524 to 776 of the family's 1533-position model. The record is from RNAcentral.